RNAcentral lists this ribosomal RNA (96 nucleotides) under Acinetobacter baumannii. Its description in RNAcentral is "partial 16S ribosomal RNA". It matches the Rfam family "Bacterial small subunit ribosomal RNA", at positions 1443 to 1533 of the family's 1533-position model. Lineage: Bacteria; Pseudomonadati; Pseudomonadota; Gammaproteobacteria; Moraxellales; Moraxellaceae. The record is from RNAcentral.
AAAGAGGGCGGUUACCACGGUGUGGCCGAUGACUGGGGUGAAGUCGUAACAAGGUAGCCGUAGGGGAACCUGCGGCUGGAUCACCUCCUUAACGAA